Long non-coding RNA from Oncorhynchus gorbuscha (pink salmon), 1721 nucleotides. RefSeq lists it as uncharacterized. The record is from RefSeq and is a predicted model, not a curated record. Lineage: Eukaryota; Metazoa; Chordata; Actinopteri; Salmoniformes; Salmonidae. The transcript is spliced from 2 exons.
UUCACUAUUUGUUAGUUUUUUUUCUUUCCUUGUGAAUACCAACACAAAUCAAUCACUUUAUACAGGACACACAAGACAGUCUGGAUGUAACAUUCAGUAAAUCUCAGUAAACUUUCAACGUUUUUCCGAAGAUGAUUAUGUGGCAACUUCCAUCAAUGGCUUGAUACAUAAGUAGGAUAAAAGGACAAUAAUGUUUGUAAAGCUUGAGUACUUGACCAGGGCAUGAUUACCAUUAGCCUAGUAUUAGCAAGAAUCUCUGCAUUAAAAAAUUAAACCUUAUUUGAAUAAUUCUGUCUAUUUCACCCAGAACAACCACUUUUCAGCUAUCAGGGCAAAUAUAUUAUGAAUUUACAAAUGUGAUUGAAGGCACUGGACAGUAUUUUCCUUUUGGAAAAUAGUCCUCACAACUGUCCUGGAAGGUACUUGGUGGAAGGUGGAGAAAAGCUAACCGAUGCCAUGAUUAAAAUGAAGGAAAAAAAACGUUGAAUCUCCACAUAGUGUGGAAAGUAACGUUUUCCCCCCUAUUCUAUAAGCAUUGAGUCCAGUGGUUUGUUUAUCAUGCCUUUGCCAAUGUCUCUGGGUCGCUUCCAUCAAUGACAACCUCAUGUCCAUAUGGAAGAUGACCUCAAAGCCACAACGUAUCACAGACAGAUAUCCAGGUCCACGCUGUAUUUGUGUUCACCUCCAUGUAAUUGUUGUAAUAUACAAUUUAGGACCAUAUCUUCAUUUUAUUUAUUCUAUUUAUGAAUUACUAUGAGUUAUAGCUGUCUGAAAUAUUACAUUUCUAAGUGAUUUGUUAUUUUGCCAAACCAAAUUGUACGAUCUAAGCACAAUCAGUGUUAUUGAUUAGUUGAUCAAUACUUGUACAUCCCUAUUGACACUUGGAAAGAUUUUUCCUUCUUUCAUGACUGACAAGUCAGUGUGUAUGAUAUCGAGUCAGUGUAUAAGGACAUGUGUUCGUAAGGACAUGCAUGCAUCAGUGGAAUUGUUUUAUUUUCCCUUUUUUACUUAGACUCUAUUUUAUCCCAAAAGUGGGUGUUUGGGACUGAUAUCUGGACGUUUUAAUCAAUUUAAUUGAUUCUGAUCUUUGUUGGUGUGUGUUUGUCUCUGUAAAAAGACAAAUAGAUUUUUGCUCUCAAAAUUGUCGUUAUUUUAAAAUAUUUCAAAUUCCGUCAACAGAAUUGUCAAUAGGAAUAAUUGCUACGACAGAAAUAGAUUCAACAGAUUUAUUAUGGAACCAGAAGAAGUGUAAGAAGAGAAGUUCAGGCUUCUCUGCUCCUCUUGAUGAUUGGUUGUAAAUGCCUGUGAAUGAGGUGAAGGUAUUGGUAUUAUUAAAUGCCUGUGAAUGAGGUGAAGGUAUUGGUAUUAUUAAAUGCCUGUGAAUGAGGUGAAGGUGUUGGUAUUAUUAAAUGCCUGUGAAUGAGGUGAAGGUGUUGGUAUUAUUAAAUGCAUGUGAAUGAGGUGAAGGUAUUGGUAUUAUUAAAUGCCUGUGAAUGAGGUGAAGGUAUUGGUAUUAUUAAAUGCCUGUGAAUGAGGUGAAGGUAUUGGUAUUAUUAAAUGCCUGUGAAUGAGGUGAAGGUAUUGGUAUUAUUAAAUGCCUGUGAAUGAGGUGAAGGUAUUGGUAUUAUUAAAUGCCUGUGAAUGAGGUGAAGGUAUUGGUAUUAUUAAAUGCCCGUGAAUGAGGUGAAGGUAUUGGUAUUAUUAAAUGCCCGUGAAUGAGG